CCCAUUUCUUUUGCAAAAACUUUGAUUGCAUCUCCUCGUGAAAGCAUCCCUUCGUCUCCCUCGCGAGAUGCGUCUCAGGCGGCUUGGCCCAUAUUGCCAUAGCCCAUAGCUGCCUCCCGACGGCGGCGGGGCGCUUCGGCCUAGGCAAAAAAGACGUCCACGUUCGCGGCGCCGACGGUCCGCCGCCGUGGCCGCGAGCCGAAACCGCGCGGAGGCUAGUCAGGAGCUUCUCCCUGUCCUCUCCGAUCUCCUCAGACGAGGGCCGCCUGGAAGCGGCGAGGGAGAUGGCGUCACGCCGUCACCAUCGCAGUUGACAGGCACACUGCCGAGCGUUUGCCGCAGCCGUGCCCGGCCGCCUUCCGCGACGAUGGGCUCCAAGGGCAGAGGCGGGGGCCACUGUGGCUCGGUCCAUGGUGGUGGCCGCGGACGCUGUCUCAACGAGAUGCACACACGUCCCGGACGUGGUUAAGAGGAGACGAAGUGUAGGUUUAUAGGUUUCGUUCGGCGAUGGAAUUGAACACCUUCAGAGCCAUCGUCGCUGCUCCUGAUCUUUUCCGCGGCGAUCCUGAUCUUUUCCGCGGCUCUUUCCCGGGCGAGAGUUCCACGGCCCGGUAGGUCGGGAACUAUUCCUCGGGCUCGCUCGCUCCCUCGCUCCGGUAACCUGAAGCAACGUUGCCGCGUCCCUCCGUCGACCGCGAUCGAUCCCGUCGUCUCCCUCCAAUUCCGGCGACCAGAAGCAACGCCGCCUCCUCUCUCCGUCGACCGCAGGCGACACCGCCGCCUCCCUCCGGCGACGCGACCCCGCCGCCAACCUCCGGCGGACGCGAGCCGCCUCCCUCCGGGGACCAGGGGCACGCCCCCUCCCCCGUGCCCUGCCCCACCUCGAGGUUCCUCUUCCCUCUGACGUAGCAGGUUCUGGAGAGCUCCUAGUUUCCUACUCACCUUGUUGCUGAAACUUGGCUGCAAGCAUUGGGAGCCACGGAUUAGGAGAUUAUUUUGUCUUUGGAUGGAAGUGGUUGGUUAAGUUGUCUUUGCCGAAAUAUUGCAAGAUCACGCUUAUUUUAUUGUACAAGAACUGAUCAUCAUGUUUGUAAUCAUUUUACUCCUAGGGAUGGUGGAACCACAUAUUCUCUAUGUUUGUCCUUUUCAAGUUUCUUCCUUUUCUAUGAAUAUUCCUGAUUUGGCAGGCAUUAUUUGUAAUCUCGUUGACAUUUUUUAAUUAAUUUUAUGGUAUUCUUUGCAGUAUUUUAUUAA
Molecule: long non-coding RNA, 1254 nt
Organism: Brachypodium distachyon (stiff brome)
Lineage: Eukaryota; Viridiplantae; Streptophyta; Magnoliopsida; Poales; Poaceae
Exons: 2
Source: RefSeq, a predicted model, not a curated record